GAAUUCGCCCUUAGAGUUUGAUCUUGGCUCAGGAUGAACGUUGGCGGUGUGCCUAAUACAUGCAAGUCGAACGGUGACGAUUUUGUAGCAAUACGAAUGAAAUCAUAGUGGCGAACGGGUGAGUAACGCGUUGGUGAUCUGCCUCGAAGUGUGGAAUAACUUCCCGAAAGGGUAGCUAAUACCGCAUAGUCUCUCAAGGUUUAGAAAAUUGAGAGUAAAGGAUUUAUUCGCUUCGAGAGGAGCCUGCGUCCCAUCAGCUAGUUGGUAGGGUAAUAGCCUACCAAGGCAAUGACGGGUAGGGGACCUGAGAGGGUGGCCCCCCACAAUGGAACUGAAACACGGUCCAUACACCUACGGGUGGCAGCAGUAGGGAAUAUUAGAAAUGGGCGAAAGCCUGAUCUAGCAACACCGCGUGUGCGAUGAAGGCCUUCGGGUUGUAAAGCACUUUUUGGAGGGAAUAGGAAGGAAGGUACCUCCAGAAUAAGUCUCGGCUAACUACGUGCCAGCAGCCGCGGUAACACGUAGGAGGCAAACGUUAUCCGGAUUCACUGGGCGUAAAGCGCGUGUAGGUGGUUCUGUAAGUAGGGCGUGAAAGCUCCCGGCUCAACUGGGAGAGGCCGUACUAAACUGCAGAGCUAGAGGAUGGUAGAGGGAGGUGGAAUUCCAGGUGUAGUGGUGAAAUGCGCAGAUAUCUGGAGGAACACCAGUGGCGAAGGCGGCCUCCUGGACCAUUCCUGACACUCAGACGCGAAAGCUAGGGUAGCAAACGGAAUUAGAGACUCCGGUAGUCCUAGCCCUAAACGAUGCAGACUAGGCGUCGGCGGUUUAAUCACCGUCGGUGUCCAAGCUAACGCGAUAAGUCUGCCGCCUGAGGACUACGGCCGCAAGGCUAAAACUCAAAGGAAUUGACGGGUCCCCGCACAAGCAGCGGAGCGUGUGGUUUAAUUCGAUGCAACGCGAAGAACCUUACCUGGUCUUGACAUGCCUCGCAAAAGCUUAGAGAUAAGUAAUAGUUAUGGAGGACACAGGUGGUGCAUGGUUGUCGUCAGCUCGUGUCGUGAGAUGUUGGGUUAAGUCCCGUAACGAGCGCAACCCCUAUCUUUAGUUACCAUCAUUUAGUUGGGGACUCUAAAGAGACUGCCGGUGAUAAACCGGAGGAAGGUGGGGAGGACGUCAAAUCAUCAUGCCCCCUAUGAUCAGGGCUACACACGUACUACAAUGGCAUAUACAAAGGGCAGCUACACAGUGAUGUGAUGCGAAUCUCAUAAAGUAUGUCUCAGUUCGGAUUGGAGUGUGCAACUCGACUCCAUGAAGCAGGAAUCGCUAGUAAUCGUGGAUCAGAAUGCCACGGUGAAUAAGUUCUCGGGUCUUGCACUCACCGCCCG
Molecule: ribosomal RNA, 1385 nt
Filed under: uncultured bacterium
Lineage: Bacteria
Description: bacterial SSU rRNA
Rfam family: Bacterial small subunit ribosomal RNA
Source: RNAcentral